CAAGGUAUAGUUUCCGAUGUACCCCUACCAUUCCCCAUAAAUUAACGCAGAAACCGUCGAGAACCCGGAACGGGAUCGAUCAUGGAGCGCUCUUCUUCUUCCUCUUCUUCCUCCUCCUCCCACGCACGCAGUGUUGCUCUCAUGGUGGCUCUCCUCGUGUAUUGUUCCUUGGCGUUCUCCGCGGCGGCGGUCCAAGGUAACUUAAACCUACAUGCAUGAAUGUAGCUACACAUAUAUACACGACCCGGCUAAUUCAUACAUGCAUUCAUCGUAUAUUUUCACUGUAGUUGCUUCGGACGGACACCAUAAGCCAAGGUUCUCACCCCCGCCGCCGAUGAGUAUGGUGCCGAUUGGGCCAAGUUCUGACGCCCCCGGAGACGCCAAACACAAGACCCUGCAGCAAGCUAGUAUUGCAAACGCCCCUUGGGCAUGAAAUACCACUGGCGACCGUGUGCUCUUAUUCUUAAUUACGUGCCGAACACUGGUUGAUAAAAUCACACUGUACGCACUGAUAAGUCUAGACACAUAUAUAAUCAUUGAGAGGAUCCUGUAUCAUAUUUAUUCAAGGAGUUAUGAAUAAAUCUAUUAUUAUAUCAUGUACGUAAAUAAUAAUUUGUGGAUAUUCAACAACAAGGCGGUGUGUGAUCGACCUUUCCAAGGAGGCCCUAAUCAGACAGUUUUUUUUGGGUUCGAAAUGAUCAUUGAUCAGAGUCAAUUGCACAAAACCACCACAAUUGAUCAGAGUUAUAUUGUUA
Molecule: long non-coding RNA, 755 nt
Filed under: Hordeum vulgare
Lineage: Eukaryota; Viridiplantae; Streptophyta; Magnoliopsida; Poales; Poaceae
Description: long non-coding RNA (HVUL_LNC006164)
Source: RNAcentral